AUGGACCAUGUGUAGACAACACAUAAAAAUAUGAAAUAAUUAAUACUAAAUGGGGAAUAUCUAAGCUCUAUUUACAAAAAAAAACAUUGUUGGAAUAUUAAGUAGUUAAAUAACAAACUUACGGUGUGUGAAGACUCAAGUCGGCAGGGAGACGAGGAAAAAUAAUUCUUUUCAGAUCAUCUGAUCGACGCGCCACCAUACGGCAUAGGACGACCAUGUCCUUGACCAUUCCUCUCAACCAUAGCCUUCUCUAUUAAGAAAGCCGAAAGGUUGGAGCUUUUUUUUGAAGCAAAUUUUGCUUCCCUACCUCCAAUUUUGCCCAUCCUUCAAGUGUACCCACGGGAGCCGUUUUAUCGCCUAGUGGCGAUUUUAAAAAGUUAACUUUUCGAUCGAUAUGAAUUCAUUCCUUCUGAAAUGAAUGAGGCAUCCCUCAAUUACACAUGUUAUGCCCAUUCUCGCCGAGCCGGAGACAAAAAAACUUUAUUGUACGGCUUCACGCGUUGAAUGGCUGCGAAUGAACAUAUGCAAUAAACAGGAAUGCAUGCCGUUCCGUGUAACAUCGUCAUUAAAAUCCCUCACGGCAAAAUAUAAAUGGGGCGUUCAUAAAUUACCGCUCAUAAAUCCGGGUGAUUCUCCCCCUCCCCCCUACAUCAUUUUUAUCACCAGAUGGCUCCCGUGGGUACCCUUGGAGGAAGGGAAUGGGAGGAAAGGUGAGCAAAAUGUGCUUCACUUUUCCAACAUGCAAGGGAUAGCGUUCCUUUCGGCUUUCUCUAAUAGAGAAGGCUAUGUCUCAACGCUAUCCCAGUUCGUAGUCUUUACCCUCUUAGUCUGUGGUAGUACCAAGAUCAAUUUUCUUCAUCCCUAGGAUGUCUGCAAUUGUUGAUUAAUUGACUUCUGGUUGUUUGAAAUGCAUCUACAAUUGUUAUUAAGGAAACAGAAGUGGGGCAAGAAAGAAAUGUUCUGUCAACAAGGUAACAUACUAUACUAUUUGACAUUCACCAUGAACAUGUUCAACCGGUCUGCUUAAAAUUUAGACUGAGUUUCAUUUCUGGCCAAUGGGUUAUAAUCUACCCACCACGUGUUACACACCACAUUGUUUCCUGUUGUAUCUUGUUCAGUUCGUUAGAUCUAGACGAUUGGGAUGUGACGCUAUUGAUCAUUUAAAAAUUUGUUUCUGCUGAAAUUACAUUUUAAAGAUGAUUGUGGGAAUUGGGUUUCCACUUCACAAUGGCUGCCGGCAAAUAUUUAUUCAGAUGAGUAAUUACGAAGUGUUCCCAUUUAUGCUAUAAAUUUUACCAUUUUUGUUUAGGUAUCUGCAUCUUUGGUUCAACAAAAGUUCAUUUAGAAAGCUUUACAGUAGAGAAAUUCAAACUGUAAGUCAAACAAAGCCAGUAAUGGACUUGUAUUAAUAGAAUAACAAAUGUGCUGUGUUAACGUACGUUCUGUGUACUGUACGUAGCCGUAAUGACGGGUAAUGAUUCACCAAAUCGGUAAAGCCGAAAAUGUUAGUUGACCACCUUAAUGUGGCAGCAAAUGCAUGUAAAUAGCCAAGUAUUUUUUUCCUCCUGCUUGAAGAUCCAUUCAAGCUCAAAACUUCUAGAUAAAAGCCAAUUACUGACACAUGUUGUAAAGGUUAAAGGCUUAAAGCGACUGUGUUUGAUGGAAUUGUAAAAAAUGGACUGAUCAUACAUCCUUGGGAGAGAGAUAACCAAAUUGAUUAUCUCUGCCUUUGGAUUAGAAAACAACUUAUCUGCUGUGAUACUUCUUGAAAUUAGGGGUUAUUGAAGGCCUAAUGCAUAUAGGUAUGUAUACUUUUUCUCUCAUUUCAUUUGCUUAAUGAAUGACCUCAGUUAGGGGUUACCGCUUGAUUCGGCAUGUCAAAUUGGCUUACCUCCACCUCCACGCCUUGAUUUACAUCCGUUGGGAAGUCUGCUCUAACAGAACGAUGUAAGCAGUGGCAUCUGGCAUGUGAUAAUUAAUAGUGAAUCUGACGAAAUGGGCUUUUUCUCCACAAAAGACUCUGAAGACAGUUGCACAACAAGCGUAGGAUUUUGUUGCACACCAUGUGGCCGUAGAAUGGCGAGGCACAAGAACCGGCCAGCAGACCAUUGAUACUUUUUAGUUUCUCGUAAAUUGGCAAUAAGAUUGCCCCAACAGCAUUUCCACUAUUCACCUACUGCAGCCAGCCCAGGAUCAUAAAGGAUGUUUAAUGUCUUUUACAGAUUGUGCAGAGGCUGCCCAGAGUUAUGGACCCCUGGGUCUAUGACUCUGGUUAGAUUUGAAAUUUUUGAUUUCAUGGCGCCAUGAAAUCGUGCGCCACUAUCGAUACUCAUUAUCUUGGCGUACUACGUAGUUAGUAAAUCAACCUGUACUUUCGGAGCUGUUAACGAUCUCUUUAACAAUUCUUUAUACCGGCUUCUCUUUGCAACUAGGAAAAUUUUGUUUACAAUUUAAAGGAGAGUGUAGCUCAUUCUUUAGAUUAAAAAGAAAAAAUUAAUUUCUGAUUUUUCUUCCGGUUUUAAAAUGCCAAAUGACUCUUUAUUUCUUAGUCUCUCCGAAAAAAGAUUCUCAUUUUCGUGAUCCUCGUCAAAUAUGUGGUUGACUCCAUGGAUCAACUCAAAAUACCCGAAAAUCGUCAAAAAUCGCAAAUUUUCCUGAACGUUCAUGAAAAAUCACGAUUUUGGUCAAAUCCGGCUUUUGGCCAUAAACUUGUCAUUCUUACCCCAAAUCUAAUAAGGAUCAUGAAAAUCUGACUCGUUUGGUUAUGAGGUCACUAUUUCCGGAGAUAUUGGCCACUUUCGGUUACUUCCGGAAAUUUGUAGUGACAAAUUAAAAAAAGUAAAAAAUAAGCUGUAUCAUUCUAACAAUCACAAAUAUUUUUCUUGCAUGUGUUAGGGUGUUGCAGCUAUUAUUCCAUAUUUUUCUUGCUAUCAACAGUACUGGAUGACCCUAAGAGCAACGGCAGUUUUAGCUACAGAUUUUUAGUGUCUCGUCUUGGAACUAGUAGUUGAUAUUCUAGUUUUUAUGUUUAAAAUUUGAAUUAAACAAUUUGAGAUUAGUAAAGUCCAAGCAUUUAAAAGCAAGAAUUGCACUGAUUUUAAAGGUAAAUCUAUUUUCUUUGGGUUGAACUAGAUGGCGUUAUUGUGCGUAUAUGAUAAAAAAUGCGAAUGACAAGUUAAAUGGGUGUUCAAAGUAAAAACUAAAACUGUUCGUGAUUUGGUACAAAGUCCUUAUUGAAUACGUAUUAAAACCAAUUUAAACACGAGCAGUUAGACUUUCAUUGCAGACUAAUGGGUCUCAGAUCAAUCCACCAGGUGCUGCUGAAACCUGUUGUUUUGAGAGCUGUCACAGAGUCGUUUUAUGUUAAGGUAAGGUAAGGUAAGUUACAAAAUUCAACCCUAUUAAUUAGUGAUUAACGGAACUCCAUUCAACCAACUGUUUUAUUGACAAACACUUUUCUCAGGUUUACUAGUUUUUUCCAUAACUUAAUGGUGAUGUUUCACUGCAAUCUAGUGGCAAUUACUUUCCCCUCAAAAAGCAAAAUAAGCCUGACUUUUUAAGCCCGACUUUAACUAGGGGCCCUCACACCGUUCGGGAAGUUCCCGAUAGGGUUGGGCUGUAGUUGUUCUUGAAUAGCGACAACCCUAUAUGCUCUGAUUACACUCAACGGCUCCCGCUGUUCGCGAAGUUUUCGAUAGCGUUGGAGAAAAAAGAAUCACAUUGUAUAAUAAAAACUGACUGCUAAUUUCGAUUAAGUAAAUGGUUUCCUUGUUAAAUUAGCCGAUUUUAAAAUAAACGAAAAUAAAGUUA
Long non-coding RNA from Daphnia magna, 3810 nucleotides. RefSeq lists it as uncharacterized. Lineage: Eukaryota; Metazoa; Arthropoda; Branchiopoda; Diplostraca; Daphniidae. The record is from RefSeq and is a predicted model, not a curated record. The transcript is spliced from 6 exons.